This 330-nucleotide ribosomal RNA is filed under the name uncultured eukaryote. RNAcentral's name for it is "partial 18S ribosomal RNA". It matches the Rfam family "Eukaryotic small subunit ribosomal RNA", at positions 1470 to 1796 of the family's 1831-position model. The record is from RNAcentral.
CCCUUAGAUGUUCUGGGCCGCACGCGUGCUACACUGAGGCAUUCAACGAGUCUAAAACCUGGUCUGAUAGGGCUGGGUAAUCUUUUGAAAGUGCAUCGUGAUUGGGAUAGAUGAUUGCAAUUCUUCAUCUUCAACGAGGAAUGCCUAGUAAACGCAAGUCAUCAGCUUGCAUUGAUUACGUCCCUGCCCUUUGUACACACCGCCCGUCGCUCCUACCGAUUGAAUGAUCCGAUGAAUACCAUGGAUUGAGAGUACGAAUAGGUUCGCUUAUUUCUGCUGCUCGAGAAGUGGAGUAAAUCUUAUCAUUUAGAGGAAGGAGAAGUCGUAACA